ACAGACCCUGCGAACAUGGCGCUGCGAGCGGCGCGGAGCGCGCGACCUGUGCUCUGCAGCCUGCGCUGGGCCUGGCGACCGCCGCGGCCGGGGCGGCUGAGCGCGGCGCUGUCAGACGCUGCGAACGGGACCCGCUCUGCUCUCAGUGCGUAAAUUUACAGAGAAACAUGAAUGGGUAACAACAGAAAAUGGUGUUGGAACAGUGGGAAUCAGCAAUUUUGCACAGGAAUCUUUGGGAGAUGUUGUUUACUGUAGUCUGCCCGAAGUUGGGACAAAAUUAAACAAACAAGAGGAGUUUGGUGCUUUGGAGAGUGUGAAAGCUGCUAGUGAGCUCUAUUCUCCUUUAUCAGGAGAAGUAACUGAAAUUAAUGGAGCUCUGGCAGAAAACCCUGGACUUGUUAACAAAUCUUGUUACGAAGAUGGUUGGCUGAUCAAGAUGACACUGAGUAAUCCUUCAGAACUAGAUGAACUAAUGAGUGAAGAAGCAUAUGAGAAAUACGUAAAAUCUAUUGAGGAGUGAAAAUGGAACCCCUAAAUAAACUAGUGUGAAAUAAAAAAAAAAAAAA
Molecule: non-coding RNA, 566 nt
Organism: Microcebus murinus (gray mouse lemur)
Lineage: Eukaryota; Metazoa; Chordata; Mammalia; Primates; Cheirogaleidae
Source: RefSeq, a predicted model, not a curated record